CAAAAGUCUACAUGACUUAACAAGCAAAAGAAAAAUAAAGUAAGAAAUGACCGACUACACUAUAUCUAGAUGGGUGACCGAACUAAGACCAACGUCGUAAAGGGUCUGUUCGAUCACAAGCUCAUUCUACAGCAGGAUCACCAUGUCCUUCAACUGAUGGAAGUCCUCUUGAUCACCGACCUCUACUCAGCUAUUGUCGUUGGGACUAGUUCGUGGAUCGCCCCAACGGAAAGGAAAACCCCAAAAA
Molecule: long non-coding RNA, 247 nt
Filed under: Elaeis guineensis (African oil palm)
Lineage: Eukaryota; Viridiplantae; Streptophyta; Magnoliopsida; Arecales; Arecaceae
Description: long non-coding RNA (EGUI_LNC041041)
Source: RNAcentral